CCUACGGGGGGCAGCAGUGAGGAAUAUUGGUCAAUGGGCGCGAGCCUGAACCAGCCAAGUAGCGUGAAGGAUGACUGCCCUACGGGUUGUAAACUUCUUUUAUAAAGGAAUAAAGUGAGGCACGUGUGCCUUUUUGUAUGUACUUUAUGAAUAAGGAUCGGCUAACGCCGUGCCAGCAGCCGCGGUAAUACGGAGGAUCCGAGCGUUAUCCGGAUUUAUUGGGUUUAAAGGGUGCGUAGGCGGAUCGUUAAGUCAGUGGGCAAAUUGAGGGGCUAAACCGCUUCCCGCCAUUGAAACUGGCGUUCUUGAGUGGAAGAGAGGUAUGCGGAAUGCGUGGUGUAGCGGUGAAAUGCAUAGAUAUCACGCAGAACCCCGAUUGCGAAGGCAGCAUGCCGGCUUCCGACUGACGCUGAAGCACGAAAGCGUGGGGAUCGAACAGGAUUAGAUACCCUUGUAGUC
RNAcentral lists this ribosomal RNA (459 nucleotides) under uncultured bacterium. Its description in RNAcentral is "partial 16S ribosomal RNA". It matches the Rfam family "Bacterial small subunit ribosomal RNA", at positions 338 to 795 of the family's 1533-position model. The record is from RNAcentral.